RNAcentral lists this ribosomal RNA (462 nucleotides) under uncultured bacterium. RNAcentral's name for it is "bacterial SSU rRNA". It matches the Rfam family "Bacterial small subunit ribosomal RNA", at positions 342 to 796 of the family's 1533-position model. The record is from RNAcentral.
AUGGAGGCAGCAGUGGGGAAUUUUGGACAAUGGGGGCAACCCUGAUCCAGCCAUGCCGCGUGAGUGAAGAAGGCCUUCGGGUUGUAAAGCUCUUUCGGACAGAAAGAAAUCCUAUCCAUUAAUACUGGGUGGGGAUGACGGUACUGUAAGAAGAAGCACCGGCUAACUACGUGCCAGCAGCCGCGGUAAUACGUAGGGUGCGAGCGUUAAUCGGAAUUACUGGGCGUAAAGCGUGCGCAGGCGGUUUAUUAAGACAGAUGUGAAAUCCCCGGGCUUAACCUGGGAACUGCAUUUGUGACUGGUAGGCUAGAGUGUAGCAGAGGGGGGUAGAAUUCCACGUGUAGCAGUGAAAUGCGUAGAUAUGUGGAGGAAUACCGAUGGCGAAGGCAGCCCCCUGGGUUAACACUGACGCUCAUGCACGAAAGCGUGGGGAGCAAACAGGAUUAGAUACCCGUGUAGUCC